UUGACUUUAUUUGCGUUAAAACUCAGAAGGUAAAAGUUACUAGAGUUUUUAUUUUGGGCCAGCGGCUGGCGCCGGCGCCUGGAGGCGACCGGUCUGUCCGGCCCACAGGUGGGGCCGCCCGCCGAGGCAACGGUUUUAUUUAGGUCCACAGAAGGGUUAUUUGAGUGCGAAGACUCGGUAAUGAUCCCUCCGCUGGUUCACCAACGGAGA
RNAcentral lists this unclassified non-coding RNA (210 nucleotides) under uncultured fungus. Its description in RNAcentral is "sequence contains ITS1". Lineage: Eukaryota; Fungi. The record is from RNAcentral.